ACCUACUUAUUACGGCGGCAAUAAACCUUAUUAGAGGAACUUGUUAAAUAAUCGACAAUACACGAUGAAUUUUACUAAUUUUAGUAAUUUACAUAUCGCCGUCACGAGAACUAAUUUUAAAAUAUUAUUCUUAAUAUAAAAAUAAAAAGUCAGGUCAAGGUGUAGUUAACAAUUUAGAUUAAAUGAGUUACCUUAAAAAUAUUUAAGGAUUAGUUAAUAAUUAAUUAAUUAUUAAAAAGGAUUUAAAAACAAUUUUUUAAAACAUUUUAAAAUGAAAAAUAUUUUAAUGUGUACACAUCGCCCGUCGCU
RNAcentral lists this ribosomal RNA (309 nucleotides) under Drassodes lapidosus. RNAcentral's name for it is "partial 12S ribosomal RNA". Lineage: Eukaryota; Metazoa; Arthropoda; Arachnida; Araneae; Gnaphosidae. The record is from RNAcentral.